This 270-nucleotide unclassified non-coding RNA is filed under the name Hevea brasiliensis (rubber tree). Lineage: Eukaryota; Viridiplantae; Streptophyta; Magnoliopsida; Malpighiales; Euphorbiaceae. The record is from RNAcentral.
AAAAGGGACAGCUAUCCUCCUGCCGAGGAAUACUUAAGCUAUGCAGAAAAGUCCCAUGUUAAUCUCGUGGAAGCUUUUAGGAGCAUGCGGGUUGAUGAAGAUGAUGCUAUGCCACUUGAAAAUGGAGAUUCUGGUCAUGAGGUGGUGGGAGAAGAUGAGGGUGAAGAAGCCAUCGAGGAAGGUGAAGAAGCCGUCGAAGUAUAUGCUGAUGAUUCUACCGAUGGUGGCGUCAUUGUUAAUGGGAAUGAAAGUGACGAACAGUGGGGUACG